Molecule: non-coding RNA, 1333 nt
Organism: Chlorocebus sabaeus (green monkey)
Lineage: Eukaryota; Metazoa; Chordata; Mammalia; Primates; Cercopithecidae
Source: RefSeq, a predicted model, not a curated record
UUAAGCAAUCCACCUGCCUCAACCUCCAAAAGUGCUGGGAUUACAAGUGUGAGCCACCAUACCCGGCUGGUGAGCCUAUUUUCUAAGUACUAAAAAUGCCUAUUCUCUAUUGGCUGAGUCCAAAACCUGCUGAGGUCUAUCAAGAUCCCCUUUAGGAAGAAGAGAAUUUGACUUGGUUGUUUUAUUCAAGGAAUUUGAGGAAUAACAGGUGUGUUGAAGGGAGUCAAAAGGAAUGAGCAUCUGGCACCUGGACCCAAUUGCUCCUCCCAUCCCAUCUUGGGUCAUCCACCUCCAGGUUCAUGGUCCUGGCUGCUGGCUCUGCCCUCCUUCCUUGGAGGCAUCUCCAUAGCUAGGUAGGUUUCUUCCAAAGUGGCCGUCUUCGAAAGUAAUCGGCACAGACUAUGAGGUAAACAACUAAGGCUGAGAGAGACCUGCCCCUGAGACAGACAAAGUUCAGAUUUGACAGACAACCCAUUGAGGAGGCCGACAUAAAAGCACAGCAGGUAAUAAAGAAGCUAGGCAUGUGUCCUGACGGCUGAUGAAUACAAUCUGCUAGACAAUGUGUCUUUUGAGAAGAGAAAUUAAAAGAGCCUCACCACCCUCAAUGACGUGUCUCUUUGGGUUUGGCUGGUAAAAAGCAAUAAGCUUAUGUGAAUUGAAAGGCAGGCAGGAAACAGGAGGUUUCAGCUGGAGGAGCGGCGGUCCAUAAAGACCUGGCAGGAGGGAAGAGCAGGUUGCCAUGGAAUGAAGGAACUAUGGCGGGGAUUGAGCUUCCCACCCAAACGGAGCUCACCGCCCCCCUUGUGUACUCUUCGGGCACGUCUUCACCGGAACACUCGAUACAUUGCCAAAUCAUCGUCUGUUUAGACGAGAGUCUUGACGGCAGGGACUCUUGUUCACUCCUGUUCUCCCAUUGUGAGGAGCAUAAUGCCUGGAAUACCGUAAGUGCUGAAGAAAGGUUUGUGGGGUUGAUUAAUGAUUGAACUCUGAAUAAACAAUGGUCAUUUCGAGGACUAUGUUCUCUGGAGACUUUUUUGCUUUUGAUCCAUGGAUUCCCUCAUGUACGGCCUGAAUGGUCUGAGAGAUAAGAUAACAGCGCUGUUUCAGAGCCUCUCAGCAGCCGCCUUGGGGGCUGGAUUUAUUGCCUUCUUGAGUGAAAUGCUGGCCUUCAAUUUUGCUGAGCUGUCAAGAGGUGAUCUUAGGUGUGUGGCUGUUGAUGGUCCCACAAGCUAACUUUUUAAGUCAAAAAUACCACCCAGCACUGAAAUGGAGGUUGGUUAUGAGGUGUUAACAGGGCCUCUGGGCCACCAAAGAAAAAGGGCUGGGGAAGCCA